CCCUCGUCCGACAAAUCGCCAUCGAAGCUCACAAACGGAGAUUUCCUUUGCGGGAGUCUCAGCCGAAAGCUUUGGGAGAAAGUCCCCGGACACACGUUACUUUCCUUUCCAGGGAAGCCAAAACGCCGCGGAAACGCGCCGCCAUAGAAGCACAGCGGCUGACCUCCAAGACCUGCGUCCGGACACAAUGGGCUCUUUCACACCCCGCCCCGUCGCUACAUCGUGGGUCUUCUCUACCUUUCAAGACCCGAGUUUCAGCUUUCCAGGACCUUUUGGAUGAAGAUAUGAGUCCGCGUCUGGAGAGUUGGGGCUUGGGAUCCUUGGGAUGGAUGGGGGAGCCUUUGAUGGCGGGGUGGCCGUUUGGGAGGGCGCGCUUGCCGGGCGAAUUCAAGGGUUCGUCGGAGGGUCUUUCGUCGAGAUCGAUAGGUAUGCGAUUGCCCGUCCACAACCUCUUUACUGAGGUUUGGACGUGUUACUCGAUGGGGCUUAUUCUUGGUGCGAGG
RNAcentral lists this RNase MRP RNA (503 nucleotides) under Colletotrichum salicis. RNAcentral describes it as "RNase MRP". It matches the Rfam family "RNase MRP". Rfam says of the family: RNase MRP is an enzymatically active ribonucleoprotein with two distinct roles in eukaryotes. Lineage: Eukaryota; Fungi; Ascomycota; Sordariomycetes; Glomerellales; Glomerellaceae. The record is from Rfam by way of RNAcentral.